UACGAAGGGGGCUAGCGUUGCUCGGAAUCACUGGGCGUAAAGCGCACGUAGGCGGACUCUUAAGUCGGUGGUGAAAUCCUGGAGCUCAACUCCAGAACUGCCUUUGAUACUGGGAAUCUCGAGUCCGGGAGAGGUGAGUGGAACUGCGAGUGUAGAGGUGAAAAUUCGUAGAUAUUCGCAAGAACACCAGUGGCGAAGGCGGCUCACUGGCCCGGUACUGACGCUGAGGUGCGAAAGCGUGGGGAGCAAACAGGG
This 255-nucleotide ribosomal RNA is filed under the name uncultured bacterium. Its description in RNAcentral is "partial 16S ribosomal RNA". It matches the Rfam family "Bacterial small subunit ribosomal RNA", at positions 524 to 777 of the family's 1533-position model. The record is from RNAcentral.